GAUGAACGCUGGCGGCGUGCCUAAUACAUGCAAGUCGAGCGAACGGACGAGAAGCUUGCUUCUCUGAUGUUAGCGGCGGACGGGUGAGUAACACGUGGAUAACCUACCUAUAAGACUGGGAUAACUUCGGGAAACCGGAGCUAAUACCGGAUAAUAUUUUGAACCGCAUGGUUCAAAAGUGAAAGACGGUCUUGCUGUCACUUAUAGAUGGAUCCGCGCUGCAUUAGCUAGUUGGUAAGGUAACGGCUUACCAAGGCAACGAUGCAUAGCCGCCCUGAGAGGGUGAUCGGCCACACUGGAAGUGAGACACGGUCCAGACUCCUACGGGAGGCAGCAGUAGGGAAUCUUCCGCAAUGGGCGAAAGCCUGACGGAGCAACGCCGCGUGAGGGAUGAAGGUCUACGGAUCGUAAAACUCUGUUAUUAGGGAAGAACAUAUGUGUAAGUAACUGUGCACAUCUUGACGGUACCUAAUCAGAAAGCCACGGCUAACUACGUG
RNAcentral lists this ribosomal RNA (497 nucleotides) under uncultured bacterium. RNAcentral's name for it is "partial 16S ribosomal RNA". It matches the Rfam family "Bacterial small subunit ribosomal RNA", at positions 28 to 507 of the family's 1533-position model. The record is from RNAcentral.